This 825-nucleotide ribosomal RNA is filed under the name uncultured bacterium. RNAcentral's name for it is "bacterial SSU rRNA". It matches the Rfam family "Bacterial small subunit ribosomal RNA", at positions 53 to 886 of the family's 1533-position model. The record is from RNAcentral.
ACAUGCAAGUCGAACGAACUUAACCAUUAGUUUACUAUUGGAGCGGUUAGUGGCGGACUGGUGAGUAACACGUAAGCAACCUGCCUAUCAGAGGGGAACAACAGUUAGAAAUGACUGCUAAUACCGCAUAUGCCUUGAGUAUCACAUGGUACAAAAGGGAAAGGAGCAAUCCGCUGAUAGAUGGGCUUGCGUCUGAUUAGAUAGUUGGUGAGGUAACGGCCCACCAAGUCGACGAUCAGUAGCCGGACUGAGAGGUUGAACGGCCACAUUGGGACUGAGAUACGGCCCAGACUCCUACGGGAGGCAGCAGUCGGGAAUAUUGCGCAAUGGAGGAAACUCUGACGCAGUGACGCCGCGUGCAGGAAGAAGGUUUUCGGAUUGUAAACUGCUUUAGACAGGGAAGAAACAAGACAGUACCUGUAGAAUAAGCUCCGGCUAACUACGUGCCAGCAGCCGCGGUAAUACGUAGGGAGCAAGCGUUAUCCGGAUUUAUUGGGUGUAAAGGGUGCGUAGACGGGAAAUUAAGUUAGUUGUGAAAUCCCUCGGCUUAACUGAGGAACUGCAACUAAAACUGAUUUUCUUGAGUGCUGGAGAGGAAAGUGGAAUUCCUAGUGUAGCGGUGAAAUGCGUAGAUAUUAGGAGGAACACCAGUGGCGAAGGCGACUUUCUGGACAGUAACUGACGUUGAGGCACGAAAGUGUGGGGAGCAAACAGGAUUAGAUACCCUGGUAGUCCACACCGUAAACGAUGGAUACUAGGUGUAGGGUGUGAUAAACAUUCUGUGCCGUCGCAAACGCAGUAAGUAUCCCACCUGGGGAGUACGGC